UCGAGGAUCUUCGGCAAUGGGCGCAAGCCUGACCGAGCGACGCCGCGUGUGCGACGAAGGCCUUCGGGUUGUAAAGCACUGUCGAGGGGGAGGAAGCUCCGUAAGGAGUUGACCUAUCCCUGGAGGAAGCACGGGCUAAGUUCGUGCCAGCAGCCGCGGUAAGACGAACCGUGCGAACGUUGUUCGGAAUCACUGGGCAUAAAGGGCGCGUAGGCGGGCCGAUAAGUCAGGGGUGAAAUCCUCCAGCUUAACUGGAGAACUGCCUUUGAUACUGACGGCCUCGAGUAAGGUAGGGGCGUGUGGAACUGAUGGUGGAGCGGUGAAAUGUGUUGAUAUCAUCAGGAACUCCGGUGGCGAAAGCGACACGCUGGACCUUUACUGACGCUGAGGCGCGAAAGCCAGGGGAGCAAACGG
RNAcentral lists this ribosomal RNA (414 nucleotides) under uncultured bacterium. RNAcentral's name for it is "bacterial SSU rRNA". It matches the Rfam family "Bacterial small subunit ribosomal RNA", at positions 355 to 775 of the family's 1533-position model. The record is from RNAcentral.